CAGCCAACACUAAUAGUAUGGGGAGACCAAGAUCAAAUAUUCCCCAUCGAAUUGGCGUACAGAUUAGAGAGGCACUUGGGGGAGAAUGCAAAGCUAGUAGUAAUAAAGAACACAGGCCAUGCAGUGAAUUUGGAGAAGCCCGGGGAGUUUGCCAAGCACUUGAAAUCAUUCCUCAUUGAUUCUUCUCAGUCAGUUGCUUCCAAGGACGAUCGUGUAGAUUGAACUCAUUCCUCAUCGAUUCACCUCUGUACCUUCUCAUUAUAUGACUUCAUUUCCUGCCUUUUCCAUAACUGCAUUCAAAAUUUUUGUCACCUUUUUUGUUUUCUAAUCCACAAAACUUGUAAAGUUUCGAGACGUUUUAGAGGUAUGAUACCUCUCCAUUGUAUUUAUAAAUAAAAUACAAGUUAUAUAUUUUGAGUAA
RNA transcript from Vitis vinifera (wine grape), 421 nucleotides. RefSeq lists it as uncharacterized. The transcript has 2 exons. NCBI's taxonomy places the organism in Eukaryota, Viridiplantae, Streptophyta, Magnoliopsida, Vitales, Vitaceae. The record is from RefSeq and is a predicted model, not a curated record.